This 177-nucleotide non-coding RNA is filed under the name bovine gut metagenome. RNAcentral describes it as "Lysine riboswitch". It matches the Rfam family "Lysine riboswitch aptamer". From Rfam's summary of the family: Riboswitches are metabolite binding domains within certain messenger RNAs that serve as precision sensors for their corresponding targets. Allosteric rearrangement of mRNA structure is mediated by ligand binding, and this results in modulation of gene expression. The record is from RNAcentral.
UCUGAUAGAGGUGCGGCAUUCAAAAGAGUAUCACCGGCCGAGGCAGCCAUUGCCGUCGGCAGGUCGGUGGGAAAGGUUGUGCCGCCGAAGGGCUUGUCCGUAUAAUGGCAGGGCAUGCGCCUGGGUGUGCGGUCAACAGUCGUACAACUGUCAUCAUGCGUGAUGGAGUGCUACUCA